UGGGGAAUAUUGGACAAUGGGGGCAACCCUGAUCCAGCCAUGCCGCGUGUGUGAAGAAGGCCUUUUGGUUGUAAAGCACUUUAAGCAGGGAGGAGAGGCUAAUGGUUAAUACCCAUUAGAUUAGACGUUACCUGCAGAAAAAGCACCGGCUAACUCUGUGCCAGCAGCCGCGGUAAUACAGAGGGUGCGAGCGUUAAUCGGAAUUACUGGGCGUAAAGCGAGUGUAGGUGGCUCAUUAAGUCACAUGUGAAAUCCCCGGGCUUAACCUGGGAACUGCAUGUGAUACUGGUGGUGCUAGAAUAUGUGAGAGGGAAGUAGAAUGCCAGGUGUAGCGGUGAAAUGCGUAGAGAUCUGGAGGAAUACCGAUGGCGAAGGCAGCUUCCUGGCAUAAUAUUGACACUGAGAUUCGAAAGCGUGGGUAGCAAACAGG
Molecule: ribosomal RNA, 430 nt
Filed under: bacterium
Lineage: Bacteria
Description: partial 16S ribosomal RNA
Rfam family: Bacterial small subunit ribosomal RNA
Source: RNAcentral